This 253-nucleotide ribosomal RNA is filed under the name uncultured bacterium. Its description in RNAcentral is "partial 16S ribosomal RNA". It matches the Rfam family "Bacterial small subunit ribosomal RNA", at positions 524 to 776 of the family's 1533-position model. The record is from RNAcentral.
UACGGAGGGUGCAAGCGUUAAUCGGAAUUACUGGGCGUAAAGCGCACGCAGGCGGUCUGUUAAGCGNGAUGUGAAAGCCCCGGGCUCAACCUGGGAACAGCAUUUCGAACUGGCAGACUAGAGUCUUGGAGAGGGGGGUGGAAUUCCAGGUGUAGCGGUGAAAUGCGUAGAGAUCUGGAGGAACAUCAGUGGCGAAGGCGACCCCCUGGCCAAAGACUGACGCUCAUGUGCGAAAGUGUGGGUAGCGAACAGG